UACGUAGGGGGCUAGCGUUGUCCGGAAUCAUUGGGCGUAAAGCGCGUGUAGGCGGUUCGGUAAGUCCGCUGUGAAAGUCGGGGGCUCAACCCUCGGAUGCCGGUGGAUACUGUCGGACUAGAGUGCGGAAGAGGCGAGUGGAAUUCCUGGUGUAGCGGUGAAAUGCGCAGAUAUCAGGAGGAACACCAGUGGCGAAGGCGACUACCUGGCCUGUUUCUUGACGCUGAGGCGCGAAAGCUAGGGGAGCAAACGGG
This 254-nucleotide ribosomal RNA is filed under the name uncultured bacterium. RNAcentral's name for it is "partial 16S ribosomal RNA". It matches the Rfam family "Bacterial small subunit ribosomal RNA", at positions 524 to 776 of the family's 1533-position model. The record is from RNAcentral.